UCAGACGAUGCGUCAUGCAUAUCAAUAAGCGGAGGAAAAGAAACUAACAAGGAUUCCCUUAGUAACGGCGAGUGAAGCGGGAAGAGCUCAAAUUUGAAAUCUUCAAGGUUUUACCUUGACGAAUUGUAGUUUAAAGAAGUGUUUUCUGCUGAAGUUUUGGUAAAAGUUCUUUGGAAUAGGACAUCAUAGAGGGUGAGAAUCCCGUAUUUGACCAUUAUUUUCAGCUUUGUGAUACACUUUCAAAGAGUCGGAUUGUUUGGGAAUGCAGUCCAAAAUGGGUGGUAAAUUUCAUCUAGAGCUAAAUAUUGGCGAGAGACCGAUAGCGAACAAGUACCGUGAGGGAAAGAUGAAAAGAACUUUGAAAAGAGAGUUAAACAGUACGUGAAAUUGUCAAAAGGGAAGCGUUUGACACCAGUGUUGUUUUCUCGAAAAUCAAUUAAAAAUGGCUCGAUUUUGUAUUGCUUGAGACCUUAAAAGCUCACUGUACGUUUUUCGUGUCUUUUUUGAUGCACUUUUCGUUUAACAAGUUAACAUCAGUUUCUUUUGUUGUAAAAGGGUCAUUGGAAGGUGGCUUUCUUUUCGGAGAAAGUGUUUAUAGCCUUUGGCCUCUGCAAUCGGAGAGACUGAGGUCUGCAGCGUAGACUCUUCGGGGUUAGAUACAUUUGUGCUAAGUUAUAGCUUUUUAUAGACAACUUGUUGACUAUAAUUAGUCUUGUAGCUUACUCGCUUAUGCUAUUUUACCUACGCUUAGGAUGUUGACGAUCAGCUGAGCGCG
RNAcentral lists this ribosomal RNA (775 nucleotides) under uncultured Neocallimastigales. Its description in RNAcentral is "partial large subunit ribosomal RNA". It matches the Rfam family "Eukaryotic large subunit ribosomal RNA", at positions 18 to 605 of the family's 3401-position model. Lineage: Eukaryota; Fungi; Neocallimastigomycota; Neocallimastigomycetes; Neocallimastigales. The record is from RNAcentral.